GAUGAAGAACGUAGCGAAAUGCGAUACUUGGUGUGAAUUGCAGAAUCCCGUGAACCAUCGAGUCUUUGAACGCAAGUUGCGCCCGAAGCCAUUAGGCCGAGGGCACGCCUGCCUGGGCGUCACACGUCGUUGCCCCCCCAUCUACUCCUUCGGGAGUGCGGGGGGCGGAUGAUGGCCUCCCGUGCGCCUCGUCGCGCGGUUGGCAUAAAUGCCAAGUCCUCGGCGACGCACGCCACGACAAUCGGUGGUUGCGAAACCUCGGUUGCCCGUCGUGUGCGGUCGUCGCGCAUCGAGGGCUCGAAAAAAUUGCCGGGCUCCGGCUCGGCUUUCAACGCGACCCCAGGUCAGGCGGGGUUACCCGCUGAAUUUAAGCAUAUCAAUAAGCGGAGGA
RNAcentral lists this unclassified non-coding RNA (391 nucleotides) under soil metagenome. RNAcentral describes it as "partial contains 5.8S ribosomal RNA, internal transcribed spacer 2, and large subunit ribosomal RNA". The stretch from base 1 to 122 matches the Rfam family "5.8S ribosomal RNA", at positions 35 to 154 of the family's 154-position model. The record is from RNAcentral.